Long non-coding RNA from Drosophila pseudoobscura, 368 nucleotides. RefSeq lists it as uncharacterized. The transcript is spliced from 2 exons. The record is from RefSeq and is a predicted model, not a curated record. Lineage: Eukaryota; Metazoa; Arthropoda; Insecta; Diptera; Drosophilidae.
GUAGAAUAAAAAGUGAGUGUCAUAUGGCAUUAAUAGAAAUACUGUGUUGCUUUGCACGUAGAGUAGUACGGUUCUGUUCUGUUCAUUUCGAUCUGUCAUUUACAAUGGCUCAAUCAAGCAUUGUCUGGUCUCGCAAGGCAAUCGCAAGUAGAGAUGCAACCCUGCAAGUACCCUGCGAAAGAGCUCUUCCAUAGAAAAUAAAGUUUCAACUAAGAUGGAUCUUGUGGAAGUAGAAGCCUCAAAUAAUUCAAGAUGGGAAUGUUCUUUUCAUUGCAAAAAAAAAGUAAGUGCGAUUUGGUAAUUUUGUUUAGAAUAGUUUGAAAUUUAAGUAUGGAAAUAAAGAUACACUUGAUAUUGUCCAGUCCAAA